This 253-nucleotide ribosomal RNA is filed under the name uncultured bacterium. RNAcentral's name for it is "partial 16S ribosomal RNA". It matches the Rfam family "Bacterial small subunit ribosomal RNA", at positions 524 to 776 of the family's 1533-position model. The record is from RNAcentral.
UACAGAGGUCUCAAGCGUUGUUCGGAAUCAUUGGGCGUAAAGGGCGUGUAGGCGGUUUGUUAAGUCAUGUGUGAAAUCCCUCGGCUCAACCGGGGAACGACGCAUGAAACUGGCAAGCUAGAGUACCAAAGAGGGGGGUGGAAUUCCCGGUGUAGCGGUGAAAUGCGCAGAUAUCAGGAAGAACACCCGUGGCUAAGGCGGCUCUCUAGUACGGUACUGACGCUGAGACGCGAAAGCGUGGGGAGCGAACAGG